This 253-nucleotide ribosomal RNA is filed under the name uncultured bacterium. Its description in RNAcentral is "partial 16S ribosomal RNA". It matches the Rfam family "Bacterial small subunit ribosomal RNA", at positions 524 to 776 of the family's 1533-position model. The record is from RNAcentral.
CACGUAGGGGGCAAGCGUUGUCCGGACUUAUUGGGCGUAAAGGGCUCGUAGGCGGGUCUUUAAGUCAGGGGUGAAAUCCUGGAGCUCAACUCCAGAACUGCCUUUGAUACUGAAGAUCUUGAGUUCGGGAGAGGUGAGUGGAACUGCGAGUGUAGAGGUGAAAUUCGUAGAUAUUCGCAAGAACACCAGUGGCGAAGGCGGCUCACUGGCCCGAUACUGACGCUGAGGCACGAAAGCGUGGGGAGCAAACAGG